ACUCAAAGGAAUAGACGGGGGCCCGCACAAGCGGUGGAGCAUGUGGUUCAAUUCGACGCAACGCGAAGAACCUUACCAGCUCUUGACAUGCCCGGUAUGGGGUCGAGAAAUCGGCUCCUUCAGUUCGGCUGGCCGGUGCACAGGUGCUGCAUGGCUGUCGUCAGCUCGUGUCGUGAGAUGUUGGGUUAAGUCCCGCAACGAGCGCAACCCUCACCUUCAGUUGCCAUCAGGUUAAGCUGGGCACUCUGAAGGAACUGCCGGUGACAAGCCGGAGGAAGGCGGGGAUGACGUCAAGUCCUCAUGGCCUUUAUGGGCUGGGCUACACACGUGCUACAAUGGCGGUGACAGUGGGAUGCGAAGGCGCAAGCCUUGGCCAAUCUCAAAAAGCCGUCUCAGUUCGGAUUGUCCUCUGCAACUCGAGGGCAUGAAGCUGGAAUCGCUAGUAAUCGCGGAUCAGCACGCCGCGGUGAAUACGUUCCCGGGCCUUGUACACACCGCCCGU
This 502-nucleotide ribosomal RNA is filed under the name uncultured bacterium. RNAcentral describes it as "bacterial SSU rRNA". It matches the Rfam family "Bacterial small subunit ribosomal RNA", at positions 899 to 1397 of the family's 1533-position model. The record is from RNAcentral.